This is a long non-coding RNA of Thalassophryne amazonica, 92 nucleotides long. RefSeq lists it as uncharacterized. The record is from RefSeq and is a predicted model, not a curated record. Lineage: Eukaryota; Metazoa; Chordata; Actinopteri; Batrachoidiformes; Batrachoididae. The transcript is spliced from 3 exons.
CCAAGUCCCGAUCGAAUUGGGGAAUUCCCCUUUGGCUGACCUGGUAGAGUCUUGGUCUUGAGUGCGAGCAAUCUGGGGUUCGAAUCCCACCA